This 440-nucleotide ribosomal RNA is filed under the name Escherichia coli. RNAcentral describes it as "partial 23S ribosomal RNA". It matches the Rfam family "Bacterial large subunit ribosomal RNA", at positions 1 to 480 of the family's 2925-position model. Lineage: Bacteria; Pseudomonadati; Pseudomonadota; Gammaproteobacteria; Enterobacterales; Enterobacteriaceae. The record is from RNAcentral.
GGUUAAGCGACUAAGCGUACACGGUGGAUGCCCUGGCAGUCAGAGGCGAUGAAGGACGUGCUAAUCUGCGAUAAGCGUCGGUGAGGUGAUAUGAACCGUUAUAACCGGCGAUUUCCGAAUGGGGAAACCCAGUGUGUUUCGACACACUAUCAUUAACUGAAUCCAUAGGUUAAUGAGGCGAACCGGGGGAACUGAAACAUCUAAGUACCCCGAGGAAAAGAAAUCAACCGAGAUUCCCCCAGUAGCGGCGAGCGAACGGGGAGGAGCCCAGAGCCUGAAUCAGUGUGUGUGUUAGUGGAAGCGUCUGGAAAGGCGCGCGAUACAGGGUGACAGCCCCGUACACAAAAAUGCACAUAUUGUGAGCUCGAUGAGUAGGGCGGGACACGUGGUAUCCUGUCUGAAUAUGGGGGGACCAUCCUCCAAGGCUAAAUACUCCUGAC